This 1767-nucleotide long non-coding RNA is filed under the name Nicotiana tabacum (common tobacco). Its description in RNAcentral is "long non-coding RNA (NTAB_LNC004022)". Lineage: Eukaryota; Viridiplantae; Streptophyta; Magnoliopsida; Solanales; Solanaceae. The record is from RNAcentral.
UUUUUUCUUUUGUUUUAUUUAAGAAAAGCAUAGUUUUACAUUCUUCUUCCUCCUCCUUUCCGAGCCUCCAUCCCCACCAUCAUUUCCUCACACCGACCAGAAAACUCCUUCACGCCACGAAAAUACUGUGAAAUUCAGCAACGACGACUACAGAUUAAAUGCCCACUUCAGUAGUUUUAAUGAAAAAUAAAAUAAAUUGCACCGUGAAAUUCAUUAGUUAAUUAAAUUGUGAGAAGAUGGCCUGAGACAGUCAAAAUAAACUGCACCGUGAAGCCGGAGAGAGAUAGCAGUGAUGGCGGCAGCUGCAGUCGCCUCUUGACGGUGGCGUUUUUGGCUCGAGCUUUGCGGCUUCUUUUUUGGAGAAAUUCUACCUUAAUUGCUGUCUUCUUCCUCUUGAGAUUCGUUCAAUAGAUUGGAUCUUGGAUUCUUUAGACGCCAUGUUUGAAUGCUUGGAAGUUUCUUUGAGAUUGAAGUAUUAGGAAUAUGAGAUUAACAAUACGAUCAUUUUGCUUCUCGGUUUAACUGGAGAAGAUAGUGUCCAUGACCGAUAUUGGUGGGAGGCAAUAGAACCGAUGGGGAAAUGCGGAGAAGACGAUGGAAUUGUUGGGGAAAUUUAUGUAUAAAAUAAAUUAUUUUUGUUUUCAAAACUUUUUUUUAACUAUUUGGGUCCAAAUGCCACCUGUCUCCCUCUUAUUUGUUAUUUUUGCUAAGUCAUUCAUGUGUGAAUUACACACACCUUAUUGUUUUUACUGGUUAUGAGUAAAGUGUUCAAUAGAUCCACUUUAUAUAAUAUUAAAGUGUUCAAUAGAAAAAACAUUAAGUUAAAGUGUUAAAAUGAAAACUGGAGCCACGUUUAAGGGGCCGUGCACCUAUUUGGCCUUUAUUUAAUGAGAAUGCUUUAUCAUUUGUUUGCGAUUUGGUGAGAUUUGCGAAAAGGAAGAAUUGGAAAGAUAAUAAAUAAAAAAUCAUAAUAAAGAAUUAAAUUAUAUAAAGUUGUAUUGGGUGGAUAUCCAUAUAUUACGCUUUCAAGAGUAACACCAAUCUCGACAACAAGAGUUCUCGUUUACGAAAGAGUAGUUGAAACGGCACAAGGGAACAUCAUACACUAAAAAUAUUAUUUAUGAAGCAAAAUUAUGUGAGAUAUAACUACAUGACAUAUUUCUACCUCAUAUAAUAAAAUCACAGUAACUACAAAUAAUAUCUAACUAACUUUAACUAAAUAGAUCGUAAACUUGGUUCAGACGAUUAUCUAAUCAUUUAUGAAUCUAAGUAUUACGUCAAUGUAAUAGCACUAACUUAUGUAAAUUGUCACGUUAGAUAUGCAUAUUUACGACCACAAGUUUUUAUUCUCCGUUAGCCUAUUCCAAGGAGACCACUUUAGCAAAAAUGCAGAAAGCUUCUAAUUUCACUCGCUUUUGACAAUUUUUAUCCUUCCCUCAAAUGACAAAUAUAAAUCGUUAACCCCAAAAAAGAUAAAAGAAUGGAGCAAUAUUGUACUAACCUUUCAGUCUCAAAUUGAAUGAUAUCUUCACCACUGAGACCAUUAAUCCCCAAAAAGAGGAUUAUUGGAGUAUUAUCAUAUACAUAUUGAAUUCUUGUUCUUUGUGUGAUAACAGUAGUUAGCGCCAAAGUAGGACUCGAUAAAACAGAAAAUAUAAUAGUACACCGUCCAUUCUUAAAUGGAACUUUUAUGCUGGAGCAAGAACUAGUAUAAAAGUCGAUCUAUUACAAUUAACGCGUAAUUCCUAUUUCAUUUUCUUCUAAUGU